AUAAUACUGCGUACAGUGUAGUGAUUGUAAUAAUACUGCGUACAGUGUAGUGAUGUGUAAUAAUACUGCGUACAGUGUAGUACUGUGUAAUAAUACUGCGUACAGUGUGGUACUGCAAAUAGUGGAAUACUGCGUAAUAAUACUGCAUAGUAAUACAACAAGCUGUCGGGUAAGAUACGUUCACCUCUACAUGCGUGCUUAUAAAAGCAAAAUGUUUUCAAAUGAAUGGUCCUGUAGCUUGUUUAUGUUAAUGAUAUGACUUCUGAUGGCAUGCAUAUCAGGAGUACGGUUUCCGCGUGGAUCCUUUAACGAGUCUGGGCCUGACUUCGGACAGUAUAGUGAGCUACAGGAUGGGGGAAGUGGAGCGCUCUCACGUUUUCUGAGCUUCCUGAGCUUCUGCCCUGUGGAUACCUGGUUGGAGAAAACAACAUUAUCAACAUCAC
Long non-coding RNA from Ictalurus punctatus (channel catfish), 443 nucleotides. NCBI's taxonomy places the organism in Eukaryota, Metazoa, Chordata, Actinopteri, Siluriformes, Ictaluridae. The record is from Ensembl.